Molecule: long non-coding RNA, 9945 nt
Organism: Leopardus geoffroyi (Geoffroy's cat)
Lineage: Eukaryota; Metazoa; Chordata; Mammalia; Carnivora; Felidae
Exons: 3
Source: RefSeq, a predicted model, not a curated record
ACAGACCAGGAGAUCGUGACCUGAGCCGAAGUCAGCUCAACCGACUGAGCCACCCAGGUGCCUCUCAGUUUUGUCUUAUUUGAUUCAUGCUUAUUUGGUCCUCUCUAAGAAAAUUCUGCCUGUCCCGAAGUCUCCACAAUAUUCUUCUAUAUUUCCUUCAUAGUUUUAGCUUUACAUUGAGUUCUUUGGUCUAUCUCAAAUUAAUUUCUCACCCUUUCUGUGGAUCAGGAAUCUGAGUGGCUUAGCUGGUAAUGGUUCUAGCUCAGAGUCUUUUGUGGUGUUGCAGUCAGUUGGGGCCGCAGUCAAAUGAAGGCUUGGCUGGGACUGAAGGAUCUGCUUCCAAGAUGGUGCCCUCACACAGCCGUUGGCUGGAGGCCUCAGCUCCUCAGAACUCUGCCAUGUGAGCCUCUCCAUAGGGCCGCUUAUGUGUCCUCAGAACAAGGCCGCUAACUUUCCCCAGGACAGGCGAGCCACAAGAGAGCGAGGGGGAGUCUGCAGUAUCUUUUAUGACGCAUUUAGGAGUCCCCUGCCAUGGCUUCUGUUCAUUAGAGAGGUGACCACAUUACCCACCCCACAUGUGCAGCACACAGAAUGGCGCUCCGCUCUUGAAGUGGGGGGGGGGGGGUUGAAACAUAAAAACGGGAACAUAUUCUAUAGCUGCCACAGUUACAUUAAGUGAACUUUACAACUGUGAUCAUCCCUGAUGGGUCUGAUUGUGAGCCAACAUCUGAGAAAUUCAAACUGAGGAAAACAUUUUACUAAACAACAGGCUUGUAAUCUUCAAAAGUCCAGAAAAGUCAAGGAAAGACUGAAAAACCGAUCCAGGUUGAAGGAGGCUAAAGAGUCAUGACCACUAGUUACAACAUGUGACUUUGAACUGGAUUUUUUACCCAAAACUCGAUCACUGGGACAGUUGGCAAAACUCAGAUGGGUUCUGAGAAAUGCAUGGUGAUGGUGUAUCGUUAAUUUCAUGAUUUUUAGGCUCGUUGUGCUAAUGGAGGAUAAUAUUCGUGCUGUUAGGAAAUGCCUGCUGACCUUCAGAGUGAUGGUUAACUUACUGCAAAGAAAGGCGUUAAAAAACAAGUGGCUUUUUUUUUUUUUUUUUUUUUUUUUUUUUUUUUACUAAUGUCAUUGAAAGACAACUGGCUGUUUGGUGUAAAGAAAGCACGAUUAACAUUGUGCUCUCGGUGCUUCUUCGCCUUCCACAGGCCCUCAGAGCCCAGGGCCCCUUCCUCUCCCCAGAUGGGGACUCCUGACUUUGGCCAGCCGCCAUACCUCACUCUGGGCCACUCCACCCCUCCACCUGAAUGGCCCACCUAACUAGCAACUGUGACAUUAAGCAGUUACUCAGGGCAGGAAGACGAAGAGGAGCAAAAAAAUUUCUUGUUAUUGGGGCACCUGGGGGGCUCAGUUGGUUGAGCGGCCGACUUCGGCUCAGGUCAUGGUCUCGCAGUUCGUGAGUUCGAGCCCUGCAUCGGGCUCUGUGCUGACGGCUCGGAGCCUGGAGCCUGCUUUGGAUUCUGUGUCUCCCUCUCUCUUCACCUCUCCCCUGCUCAUGCUCUGUCUCUCAAAAAUAAAUAAAUGUUUAAAAAAAAAAUUUUUUUUUUAAUUUCUUGUUAUUUUACACACAUACUGCCAUAUCCAUUGCUGCUCAUUCCUUCCUGGAGAAGUGAGUUUUCAUCCGACGUCAUUUCCUUUUGGCCUAAGAACUUUCUUAGUGUUUCAUGUAUCCCGGGCAACUGGCGACAGGUUCCCUCAGUUUUUGUUUAUCAGAAGACGUUGUGCCUGUACUGUAUUCUCACUUCUGAAGGGUAUUUUUGCUAGCUAAGAGAUUUCUGGGUCGAUUUUCGUUGUUACCGUUGUGUACCAUAAUGAUUCGAUACUUGUACCUAUCGUGUGCAGUAAGUUUAGUUAACACCCAUCACCACACAUAGUCACAAAAGCUUUUUUUCUCGAGAUGAGAACUUUUAAGUUACUCUCUUAGCAACUCUAAAUACACAAUACGGUAUUAUUAACUAUCGUGCCACGCCGUACGUUACAUAGUCGAAAUGGGUGAAGGUGGUCAAAAGGUACAAACUCCCCGUUGUAAAGUAAGUCCUGGGGAUUUAGUGUACAGAUUUUUCUUUCAUGAUUUUAAAUAUGUUAUUCUAUUAUAUUCUGGUCUCAUGGUUUCUGUUGAGGGGCCUAUAAUCAUCCUUAACUUUGUUACUCUAUAUGUGAUGAAUCUUUUUAUUUUGGGGCUGCUUUUAAGAUCUGCUAUCUUUUUUUUUCUCUUUUUUUCAGCAGUUCACUAUAAUAUGCUGGGUGCAUAAAAUACUCUGGAUUCAUUGGAUCAGAGUUUCUUAGAAUAGAAAUUUGAUUAUUUGGGACAUUUUCAGCCAUUAUUUUUAUUUUAUUUUAUUUGAGAGAGAGAGCAAGUGAAGGGGCAGAGGUGGGGGGGUGGGGGAACAGAAUCCCAAGCAGGUUCUGUGCUGUCAGUGCAGAGCCCUAUGCAGGGCUCAAACCCACCAACCAUGAGAUCGUGCCCUGAACCGAAAUCAAGAGUUGAAUGCUUAACUGACUGAGCCACCCAGACCCCCCCCAGCCAUUAUUUCUUUAAAUGUUUUGUCUCCCCCAUUCUUUUGCUCUGCCUAUGGGAUUCCAGUUGUAAGUAUAUUAACCUGUUUGAUAUGAUCUAACAGAUGACUGAGUCCUGGGGCUUCUGAGUUUGUUUUGGUUUUUUUCCAUCUUUUCCUUUGUGUUCUUAGGAUCCUGUUAUUUCUGAUCUGUCUUUAAGUUCAAGUGAUCCUUUCUUCUGUCUCUUAAGUACAUCUAGUAUAUAUUUUUACUCAAAUACUAUCCUUAAUUCUAGAGUUUCAUAGGAUUCUUUUUUAUAUUUUAUAUGCUUCGAUUCCCCAUCUGUUCACUCAAUCUGAUUCUUUUUUCUUUAAGUCCUGACUAUAUUUAUAAUAGCCUCUUUUAGAGUGCCUGUCUGCUAAUGCCAACAUCUGGAUCAGCUCAGGAUCUAUUGCUGUUCACUCUUUUCUCUUGACCUUGGGUCACGCUGCUUUGCAUAGCUAGUAUUUUUUUAUUAUAUACUGGAUACUGCAGAAGAUAGGUUGCAGAGAUCUUAGAUUCUCUUAUCUUCUGUUGAGGAGUGCUAAGUUCUGCUGGAGCAGACAGUGAAAUUAGGGAGCUCUUACACUUGGUUACGAUGGUUGUCUCGGAGUGUCGCCAUUAGCCUCAUGGCAAAUCCUUCUCCCCAGGAUAUCGUCUUUACCUCUCAGGUACCGUUUGUGGGUUUUCAUUCAGGGUGUUCUCUGGGCCCCUGUGAGUUGGCAGGAUUCAGACUCCCGGCUUUUUCCCACCCUUCCGAGAGUUGCUAUCCUUGGAAUCUCCCCCGUGUGUGUGCGCGGUUCGGAGUCAGCCGUGGAUUUGAGAUGAGUGUAUGUAUAGAUUCAAGGCUCUCCCCUCUGCAGCUCCUUCCUUUCUAGGACAUUCCCACUCUAUUUCCAGCCACAGCAGUGGCCUCCAAUGAGGUCCUCUAGCCAGGAGCACUGGUUUUCCACUUGACCAGUUGAUGGCGGUUUUUCCGGUGCAAGUUACCGGCACCACUGCUGGACUCGGAGCUCCCCAACUAGACUUUAAUUUCAGUGUAUAUUUCACCUUUCGUAUAGUUACUGAUGUCUUUCUGUUUAAACUUAUGGCUUUACACUUUGCUUUUUAUUUACCCUGCCCUAUAUUCUUUCGGAUUGAAUUUUGUUUUGUUUUGUUUUUAGUGCUAUGUUUCUCCCUUCUGUUAUCUUGGUAAUUAUACAUUCCUUUAUUAUUCUUUAAGUGUUUGCUCUAGAAAUUACUUUAUGCAUCCUUGACUUAUUUGAGUCUUAACAUAAAUUACUUUCACCACAUUUUCCAACAAUACAGGGGUCUCAAAUCUAAUUUCUCUGCUUCCUGCCUUGCAUGCUCCUAUAGUGUAUUUUAAUUCUAGAUCUCACAGGACAUUUAUUAUUGUUAUACAGUGAACAUUCCUGUUGAUUUCUUCCAUAUGUCUACUCUCUCCAUUGCUCUGCAUUCCUGAUGCAUUUCUGACCUUCCAUCUGGGAUCAUUUACUUCGUUGUGAAAAACACUAUUUUGUGUUUGCUUUAGUAUCCUCUUCUGGUACAGGGUUGUCUACCUGAAAAUGUCUUAAUUUUAAUUUAUCUUUUUUUUUUUAACUGAGCUUUUAUUUACAUGCAAUGAAAUGUGUAGUUCUGUGAAUUUUUACCUUGUGUCUGUUCACGUACCAUCGAGAUACAGAACAUUUCCGUUCCCUCAGACAGCGGCCUUCCUCGUAUACCUGCCCUGCCUCACCAGCAUAACCACGUUCUGCCUUCUGUCACCGUAGAGUACGUGGGUGUUUUGUGAACUUCAUAUAAACAGAGUCCUAUUACUUAUACUCAUUCAUGCUGCCUUCUUGUGCUCAACAUGCUGUUGUUGAGGUUUAUCCAUGUUCCUUUUUACUGCUGGCUAGUAUCCUAUUGUGUGAACGUCCCACAAUUUGUUUAUGCAGUCUCCUAGUGACGGCCAUUCAAAUAGAGUCCAGUUUUGAGCUAUGAUGAAUAAAGCGGCUGUGAAUAUCUGCAUACAGUUCUUUUUGUGGGCAUCUCCGUGUGUUACUCUUGGGCACAUACCUGAGGGUAGAAUUUCUGGUUAAUAGGCAUGUUCGUUAACCUGUCUUCGUGUAACACAUUAAUUCCCCUUACACUUAGCAGCUUAAAAAAGAAAAAAAAAGAAAAACACGAACAUGCAGCAUCUCUCACAGUUGUUGUGGGUCAGGAAUUCGGGAGCAGCUUGGCGGGGUGAUCCUGGCUCUUGGCCAUGUAGACCCCUGCCUCCGACCGCUUGAGUGUCCUCACCACACGAGAGCCAUCAUCCUCAGGAUGAGGAGUCCUUGAGAGCCUGGGAUGGAAGCUGCCGUGUCUUUAUGACCACCUGUCAUUUCCGUGACGUCCUCUUGGCCACACGGAGCCCUGUGCCCCGCGGGAGCGGCCCGUGCAAGGACACCGGCGCCAGGAGUGAGGACCCCGAGGGCCGCCUGGGUGCUGGCUGCCGCGGCGGGUUGAAAGGCGUGUGUAACUUUUGAAGAAAGUGGUGUUUUCCUGCGUGGGCCCCUUCGCUCCCCCCGCUCCCCGCCGGCAGUGUGUGAGCGCCCCGCAGGCCGCUCGGCCUCCCGACACCUGCUUUGAAUCGUAGGUCGGGAUCGCUUCAGAGGUUCGCUUUCGCUGAGCAUAGAAUUCCCGGUUUUUCCUUACUGUCUCUUGGAUGCCUCCGGAAACACGUGCCCCGUUCGCUCCCAGCUCCCUCCGCCUCCCCCGAGGUCAGGAGUCAGGCUUGCUUCUCUCUUGACUUCGUGUUCUUCCUCCGGGUGCCUCCCACGUUUCCCUUUCUCCUUUGGCCUUCCGCUGCCCCCCUUUGGUGUUCCAGGAGAGGCUCUCCUUGUAUUUAUCCUGCCUGGGUUCGUGGUACUUCAGGCACCUGUGGUGUGAUGCCUUUCAAGUUGGACGGUUGUCAACCGUUAUCUCUUCAAUACUGCUUUUGUUCCAUUUUCUCUCCUCGUCUCUCACUGUCACGCGGCUGUUACUGUAGUCUAGAAGUUUCCAUGUCGGUGUCCCAUACUUCUCUGCAUUUUCCAUCAUUCUUUUCCUCAUGCUUCCGUCUAUGUAUUUUUCCUAGCCCUUCAUCCAGUUCAUUAAUCACUUUUUCAUCUAACUAAUCUGAUUUGAAGCCUGCUUAAAGAACCAUGAAGUUCUUGACUUCAGUUAAAGUUCUAGUAUAUCCAUUAAGGUUUGUUUUAGUUUCCCUUUUCUCUGCUGAAAUUGUUAGUCUGGGUUUGGGUUUUUGGUUUUUAAAUUUUAUUUGUUUACUUUAAGUAAUCUCCACACCCGGCAUAAGGCUCCAACUCACGACCCCGACGUCAGGAGUUGCGUGCUCUCCCGGCAGAGCCAGCCAGGGGCCCCUGGGUUUUUGUUUUCUUAAAUGGGCUAGACAUGGUUAUUUUCAAGUCCAUUUUUAAUAACAUAACGCAGUGGAAAGUGUUAUGGAUUAUUGGAGUUGGGUAAUGGAUUCUACUUUUGUGAGUGAGAAUUUUCAUAAUAAAAGUUAAAAAUAAGCAUGUCUGAUAACCAAUCCAUUCUCCAGAUGACCUUCUCUUCGUUGUAUUGAUUGUAGAUCACAGUGACUUAUCCCCUCUUCUGCACAGCAUUUUUUAAAUUGCAUUCCAGACAUUGUUUAUUACAGUUUUAUAAAUAAUUUGAGGCUCUAGUUCAGGGUCAGUAAACUUACGACCCAGGAGCCAAAUCCAGUCACACCAGCUCGUGUACAUACUGUUCAUGGCCGCUCCUGCGCUACAGCGGGAAAGGUGACGAGACCGUGACCAGCAGAACCGCAAACAUUGGCCUUUGACAGAAAAAGGUCACCGGCCCCUGCUCUACAUGUUUUCCGCCAGACUCACAAAUCCAGUCCCUACUUCCGCCUUCUGCUGCCUUCACCCCAAGCCCAGGACUCAGGACCUGGGUGACGGCUUACAGUUUCACAGCCUCCCUGCGGUGUUACCGCGUCUUAUCUUUGCGUGUAUGAUUCCAGCUGCCUGGGCACGCUUACUGUAGAACACGCCUGUAGAUGUUCCGCUUAUCUCGUAACGUGUCAGUCACACUGUUUUCUCGUUGUGGGAGCUCUCCCUGAACACGGCCGCUUGGUCUCUGUUUUGCCAACUUGCCACUUGCUGCAGUGCUCUGUCCUCCGUUCUGCCAGAUUUUACGAGGGUUUACCUGCGCCUUGCCCUAGCCUGAGUCCUCGAAGGCUUUAUUUCUCGGGCCUAACACGGACUGGCCCUCUGGGUGUGUUUUUGAGGGCAUGACAGGAAAGGUGUCCUGCUCCUCGCGUCUUGCACUCCAGAGCUCAUUGCUUCCUCUUUAGAGGGGGACCUGGCUCUCUGAAUUGAGCCCUUCUUUUCCUCUGUCUCCACAGUCUUCAUCCACUCCUAUUCACCCCAGACACACGACUUCCAACUGAAAAGCAUUCUGUCGUUGGAUCUGUGUUCACUUGUUAGCCUCUUAGGACAUGGCGCCUGUCUUCUUCCCUCUCACUGUCCAUCCCGUCAGACCUCAAAGCCAGGAGACAUCCUUGAGCCCUCCUUCAUUUUUAUACUUUAUAUUCAAUCCAUCCGUAAGUCUUGUUUGUUCUUGGUCUUAAAAUACAUUCAUAUCUUUACACUGCCCUUCAUAUCGUCUUAAUUUGAUAGUAUCAAUUGGAUGGUCUUAUUUUUCUUUAAAAAUCUUUAGUGGCUUCCUAUUACCCUGAGAAUAAUAACUAGAAACUUCACUGUGAUUUUUAUCACUUUUUCCUCUCUCACUGCACGGUGGCCACGGCCCUUUCCAAACACCUGUUCUCUCCUGCCUCAGGGCCCUUGCACUUCCUGUUUUCCCCUAUUUGAAAUGUUUUCUUCUUUCCCAAUUUUCACAUGGCUAGAUCUUCUCACGUGUUAGGGUUUAUCCGAGAGGCUUUUCCUACCGUCCGAUCUCAAAUUACCACUUCAAUCACUAUCACCACACGAUGGUUUGAUAUCUUCAUAGUAAGUAAAAUCUUUAAUCGUUCAUCUAUUUAGCUACCUAUUUAUUGUCAGCUCCUACCACACCAGUAGAAGUUCUGUGAGAGGAGAAACCUCAUCUGAAAAGAUCACAAAUGUAUCCCCAGUGCCUAGCCAAUAAUACUUGCUGAGUAAAAAGUUGUUCUUUAAUUACAGGAUUUCUGUAAUUGUGUACUCUUACUGGCUUCUGCCCCAUUAUUCCACUGGAACCCCUGUUUGGAGAGUUGAACGUCAGCUUCCUCUGGCGUCCCGGGACACAGCUCUGAUUCUCCUCCUCCCCACCUCUUGGGGUAGUCUUCUGUUUUGUUUCUCAGCCUCAGUGUCCGGAUUCUGUCGGGCGCCGCAGGCGUAAGGGCUCAGUCCCACCAGGCCACGGGCACUUCCCACGCCAGCUGCAAGUUGUGAGCGCCCACACUUCUGCCCGACGUGGCCAUCACCUCGAGAGUUCCCACAACCGCCCCCGCUUCAGGUUGGAUAACUUGCCAGAACUGUUCACAGAACUCAGGAACAUGCUUUACUUACGUCUACUGGUUUAGUAUAAAGGACACAAACGAACGGCCAGAUGAAGAGGUGCAUAGGGCUGGAAGGGCCUCAAGCAUAGGAGCUUCUUGUCCCGUAACGUUGGGAUACGCCACUAACCCAGCGGCUCUUCGAACCCAGUCGUUAAGGCGUUUUUACAGGGGUCUGAUUACUAGGUGUGAUUCGUUGAAUCACUGGGCACCGGUGAUUAGCUCCACCUGCAGCCCCUCACAGCUCCCCAAGGUUGCGGGAUGAGACUGAAAGUUCCAGCACUCUAGUCAGUAUUUGGUCUUCGUGGCAACCGGCGCCUCCCUCCCUGGUCCCGGGACAGUGUCGGAGCCGCCAGGAGUCACCUCCUGAGAACUAAAGACACUCCUGUCGCUUUAGAAAUUCCAAGAGAUUUAGGGUAUUUGUAUCAGAACCUGAUGACAAAGACCAGAUGUAUGUUUCUCAUUAUACCUCAUUCGCCUAUGCCUCAUUGGCAUCCCAGAAAGGGGGAAAAGAAUGGAACGAAAGAAGUAAUUCAAAAGAUAAAGGGCAAGAACUUUCCAAGAUUGAUGAAAGUGACCAAUAUGUAAAUACAAAAAUAUCUCUAAACUGUAACCAGGAUAAAUACAAAACAAACCGUAGCCUAGAUACGCUGUAGUCACACUGCUCAAAACCGAAGAGCAAAUCUUAAAAGCGAUCAGAGGGGGUAUUAAAAAAACACAGUCUAUGUGGGAGAACGGCGAUAAGAGUUAUCACCGACUUCUCAACAGAAACACAGAGGACGGAAGACAGUAGUAUGGCAUCUUCAGGUUGGGGGGUGCAGAGGGGGACCUGCCAAGCAAAAAUUGUACAUCCGGCAAAAUUUUUUCUCAAAACUAAAGGUGAAAUAAAGACAUUUUCAGACCAGACCCGGGCCAGAAGAAAUGCUGAAAGAAAUUCUAAAAAGACUACUGGCUUUAAAAAUAACAAUUACUAUAUUUAUUUAUAACAUCUGAAGAAGUGUAAGGCAGCAAGAAUACAGUAGGUGGGAGGGGGAUUCGUUGAAUUACACCACCCUAGAUCAUGAGUUGUUCGUCAAAUAGCAUAUUAUGUGGAAAUACGCCAAAAUUUGCAGUCACAUUAUAAUCUCUCGAGAAACCGUUGAGUAAAUGGUCACACAGAAAGAAAGAAAGCUAGAAAUUCCAUACAGGAGAAAAAACGAGAAUGAAAAAAGUGAUUUAUCCAAAAGAAGGCAGAAAAGGAGCGAAGAGACAAAUGCCAAAAUGGGAAAUACCGCCAGCCAUCUAAAUGACUGCAUUAAAUGUCAGGUUUCUUGUUCCUAGCAUUUAUAUAUUUUCUAGAUGCCACAGAGUGUUCUACAUUUUUGCGUACACUAUCGUGUUUGUAAGUAUGUACAGUUUGGCAGUUUUUACCGUCUUUGUGCCUUCUUUUUUCUCUUUGUAUUGGCGAGACGCUCCGGCCAGAUGUUGGGUAGUAGUAGUGAGGGCGGGCAUCCACGCCUCGUCCGUAGAGCAUGGCCACGGUUAGGAUGGAUGUGGACCAGCCAGAGCUUGAUGCAUUGCUGGUGGGAGUGCACGCGAUGCACCUGCUUUGAGGGACUCUCUUUUCAUAGAAGUGAAACGUGCAUCUACCCUGUGACUCCACAGAUGCCCUCUUAGGUAGUUACCCAAGAGAAGUUGACGUACAUCCCUCCAGAAAGACCUGUGCAAGAUGUCUUAUUCAUAGAAGCCAAAAACUUGAUAUUUGGAGAAUAUCCCAAAUAUCCCUCAACAGGAGAAUGGGGAGAGUGGUGUAUCCAUCAGCGGAAUACCAAACAGCAAUAAAGAAUUAACUA